CCGUCGGCGAGCCCGGCGAAGUCGCGAACCGGUGGGGGUGAUGUCGACGGCGGCGAUAAUGGCCGAUAGUACGCCGACGUGACGCCCGAUGGCGCCGCCAAGAAGCUCCCGCGAUUUGCCGGCGGAACGAUUAAAAUCGCAGUCUAAUAAUGAGACUUAUGCAAAGGAAUUUAUAAGUAAUGAUAUGGUUGUGUACCGAAUGAGUUUUGUAUUCUUCGAUAAUCUUCGAAUUUCAUAGUUAUUGAGGUGGUAUUGUUAUACAACAUAUGUGCGAGAGGUUAAGAGUUCAUAUCACUCAUGUCUCUCUUAAGAGUUUAAGAAAUGUUUUUUUCUAAUUUGUAAAGAGCGGGCAAUAUGGGCUAGUUCCCAGAGCCAUAUGUAUUUAUAUUUUGUUUUAAUAAAAAAAAACAAAAAAAAAUUGCCGGCGGUAGUACGAAGGUACUUUGUGGCAUUGCGGAGCAAACGCGAUUUUUCGUUUAAAUUGAGUUUUUCAGAGAGCUGAGCAGGGGUCUAAGGAGUCGCUGUCUUUAAAAGAAAAAUCUUGUUUUUCGGAAGCGCAGAUGUCGUUUUUCCGAAUAAUAAUACGUUUUUCUUCUUUUCUCUUUCUUUUUUUAUAAUUGAGAGAACGGCGAUUGGUGUCUUGUGUGCUGCAUUUGAGAAAAAUCAGUUUGCUUGUUAUCUCAUUGUUUAUUUGAGUUUUCCUUAUUGUUAAUAACGCUUCGUUAAAAAUGAUUCUCAUAACUUUUUAACUCCGUAAAUCUGCGACAGAUAAUUAUUUAAAUAAUAUAUAGUAGAUAUGUAACCGGUGUCAGUGCUAAUGUAAUCAGAGAAAUGCAAGUGGAGCUGCUAGAUGUAAUCAGAUGUAGGCAGAUUCACGCUCACAAUGCGAUGAAUUAAACACAUCUUUUUACAUACAAGAAGAUAUAAAUGUAUUAUUAAUAUAGAAUCGCACAUUUAAAAAUAAAAUCGACAAAGA
This is a long non-coding RNA of Ooceraea biroi (clonal raider ant), 976 nucleotides long. RefSeq lists it as uncharacterized. NCBI's taxonomy places the organism in Eukaryota, Metazoa, Arthropoda, Insecta, Hymenoptera, Formicidae. The record is from RefSeq and is a predicted model, not a curated record.